This 75-nucleotide transfer RNA is filed under the name Ignavibacteriales bacterium. Its description in RNAcentral is "tRNA-Pro". It matches the Rfam family "tRNA". From Rfam's summary of the family: Transfer RNA (tRNA) molecules are approximately 80 nucleotides in length. Their secondary structure includes four short double-helical elements and three loops (D, anti-codon, and T loops). Lineage: Bacteria; Pseudomonadati; Ignavibacteriota; Ignavibacteria; Ignavibacteriales. The record is from RNAcentral.
CGGGGCGUGGCUCAGCCUGGUUAGAGCGCUUGGUUCGGGACCAAGAGGUCGCGUGUUCGAAUCACGCCGCCCCGA